ACGAAGGGGGCUAGCGUUGUUCGGAAUUACUGGGCGUAAAGGGCGCGUAGGCGGCGCGUUAAGUCAGGUGUGAAAGCCCUGGGCUCAACCCAGGAAUUGCACUUGAUACUGACGCGCUUGAAUCCGGAAGAGGAUGACGGAAUUCCCAGUGUAGAGGUGAAAUUCAUUGAUAUUGGGAAGAACACCAGUGGCGAAGGCGGUCAUCUGGUCCGGUAUUGACGCUGAGGCGCGAAAGCGUGGGGAGCAAACAGG
This 252-nucleotide ribosomal RNA is filed under the name uncultured bacterium. RNAcentral's name for it is "partial 16S ribosomal RNA". It matches the Rfam family "Bacterial small subunit ribosomal RNA", at positions 525 to 776 of the family's 1533-position model. The record is from RNAcentral.